GACGAACGCUGGCGGCGUGCUUAACACAUGCAAGUCGAACGGAAAGGCCUCUUUCGGGGGGUACUCGAGUGGCGAACGGGUGAGUAACACGUGAGUAACCUGCCCUUGACUUUGGGAUAACUUCAGGAAACUGGGGCUAAUACCGGAUAGGAGCUCCUGCUGCAUGGGGGGGGUUGGAAAGUUUCGGCGGGUGGGGAUGGACUCGCGGCUUAUCAGCUUGUUGGUGGGGUAGUGGCUUACCAAGGCUUUGACGGGUAGCCGGCCUGAGAGGGUGACCGGCCACAUUGGGACUGAGAUACGGCCCAGACUCCUACGGGAGGCAGCAGUGGGGAAUAUUGCACAAUGGGUGGAAGCCUGAUGCAGCAACGCCGUGUGCGGGAUGACGGGCUUCGGGUUGUAAACCGCUUUCGCUCAUGACGAAGCUUUGUGUGACGGUAGUGGGUAAAGAAGCACCGGCUAACUACGUG
This 467-nucleotide ribosomal RNA is filed under the name uncultured bacterium. RNAcentral's name for it is "partial 16S ribosomal RNA". It matches the Rfam family "Bacterial small subunit ribosomal RNA", at positions 28 to 507 of the family's 1533-position model. The record is from RNAcentral.